ACUGUGCUAGAUAUGAGUGGACCUCGAGAACACGAGGCUAGACGAAUGGAGCUAGUCAAGAGAUGCUAUUUCCUGUGGGACUCUCUUUGUACGGCACAUUCGGAGCAGACACUUCCUGAAAGAGAAAGUGGAACAGAGAUGGCCAGGGAAUGAGAGAGAGGGACUAGAAGUGACGACAGCUAAGAGCUGAAAGCAGAGAGAGGAGAAAAACCUUGGAUACAAACCAACCCUGGAGCCCACUGCUGGCAGACCACGCCUGAAACGAUCAAACUCUUAAGGCAGGAAAACAUGACAGGUGUCAGAGACUGAUACGUCUAUGAAGAUAGGGCAUGUGGCAGAGAGGGAACGAACAAAGAAAUAACUGGACACCAGUAUUAUACCAUCCCAGAGUAUAUGGAAGUUUAUACAAAGGCAACCCCAAAACGCCAUGAUUCAUUGAAAAUGAGAAGGCAUUCCCACUACUAAAUGGUAUAAACAGUAAGAUUACUUUUUGAUGUUUUCUUUCUUUUUCCCCACUCCCUAUGGGCCUGUGGGGGCCAUUUGUUAUUCAAACCUUCACUCCACCUUCUGGCUCCCAUAGACUUGUGGCCAUAACAUAAUGCAGAAUGCAUUUAGUCCAAUUCAAAAGUCCCCAUAGUCUGUAACAGUCUCAAACUUGUUUAA
Peromyscus leucopus (white-footed mouse) is the source of this 663-nucleotide long non-coding RNA. RefSeq lists it as uncharacterized. The transcript is spliced from 3 exons. Lineage: Eukaryota; Metazoa; Chordata; Mammalia; Rodentia; Cricetidae. The record is from RefSeq and is a predicted model, not a curated record.